Molecule: ribosomal RNA, 244 nt
Filed under: uncultured bacterium
Lineage: Bacteria
Description: partial 16S ribosomal RNA
Rfam family: Bacterial small subunit ribosomal RNA
Source: RNAcentral
CGACCGGCGCACGGGUGAGUAACGCGUAUCCAACCUGCCUUACACUCUUGGACAGCCUUCUGAAAGGGAGAUUAAUACAAGAUGUUAUCAUGAGUAAGCAUUUUCGCAUGAUUAAAGGUAUUUUCCGGUAGACGAUGGGGAUGCGUUCCAUUAGAUAGUAGGCGGGGUAACGGCCCACCUAGUCAACGAUGGAUGGGGGUUCUGAGAGGAAGGUCCCCCACAUUGGAACUGAGACACGGUCCAA